CUGAGAGUUACAACUACAAACCCUUGUGAACCAUCUUUGUUGCUGCUUCGGCAGGUAAUCCCAGGGCGGGAUUCUAGGCUCCUUACGGGGCACCUGCCAGCGGUAAAACCUUUCAAACUCUGAAAUUACAACGUAGUUCUGAGUGACAAAAAAAUAAUUA
RNAcentral lists this unclassified non-coding RNA (160 nucleotides) under uncultured fungus. Its description in RNAcentral is "sequence contains ITS1". The record is from RNAcentral. Lineage: Eukaryota; Fungi.